Molecule: ribosomal RNA, 253 nt
Filed under: uncultured bacterium
Lineage: Bacteria
Description: partial 16S ribosomal RNA
Rfam family: Bacterial small subunit ribosomal RNA
Source: RNAcentral
UACGUAGGGUGCAAGCGUUGUCCGGAAUUAUUGGGCUUAAAGAGCUCGUAGGCGGUUUGUCGCGUCGAAUGUGAAAACCCGGGGCUCAACCCCGGGCCUGCAUUCGAUACGGGCAGACUAGAGUUCGGUAGGGGAGUCUGGAAUUCCUGGUGUAGCGGUGAAAUGCGCAGAUAUCAGGAGGAACACCGGUGGCGAAGGCGGGACUCUGGGCCGAUACUGACGCUGAGGAGCGAAAGCGUGGGGAGCAAACAGG